This 253-nucleotide ribosomal RNA is filed under the name uncultured bacterium. Its description in RNAcentral is "partial 16S ribosomal RNA". It matches the Rfam family "Bacterial small subunit ribosomal RNA", at positions 524 to 776 of the family's 1533-position model. The record is from RNAcentral.
GACAUAGGUGGCAAACGUUAUCCGGAUUUACUGGGCGUAAAGGGCGCGCAGGCGGUCUUGAAAGUCAGGCGUGAAAGCCCCGGGCUUAACCUGGGAAUUGCGCUUGAUACUCUGAGACUGGAGUACGGGAGAGGAGAGUGGAAUUCCCAGUGUAGAGGUGAAAUUCGUAGAUAUUGGGAAGAACACCAGUGGCGAAGGCGGCUCUCUGGACCGUAACUGACGCUGAGGCGCGAAAGCGUGGGGAGCAAACAGG